This 460-nucleotide ribosomal RNA is filed under the name uncultured bacterium. RNAcentral describes it as "partial 16S ribosomal RNA". It matches the Rfam family "Bacterial small subunit ribosomal RNA", at positions 338 to 795 of the family's 1533-position model. The record is from RNAcentral.
CCUACGGGCGGCAGCAGUGAGGAAUAUUGGUCAAUGGGCGCGAGCCUGAACCAGCCAAGUCGCGUGACGGAUGACUGCCCUACGGGUUGUAAACUUCUUUUAUAAAGGAAUAAAGUGAGGCACGUGUGCCUUUUUGUAUGUACUUUAUGAAUAAGGAUCGGCUAACUCCGUGCUAGCAGCCGCGGUAAUACGGAGGAUCCGAGCGUUAUCCGGAUUUAUUCGGUUUAAAGGGAGCGUAGAUGGGUUGUUAAGUCAGUUGUGAAAGUUUGCGGCUCAACCGUAAAAUUGCAAUUGAUACUGGCAGCCUUGAGUACAGGUGAGGUAGGCGGAAUUCGUGGUGUAGCGGUGAAAUGCUUAGAUAUCACGAAGAACUCCGAUUGCGAAGGCAGCCUACUAAACUGCCACUGACAUUGAUGCUCGAAAGUGUGGGUAUCAAACAGGAUUAGAUACCCGUGUAGUC